AACGAGGGGGACGAGCGUUAUUCAUCAUGACUGGGCGUAAAAGGUUCGUAGACGGUAAAGUAAGUUUCUUGUUAAAGAUUAAAGCCUAACUUUUAACCAGCUUGUAAAUACUGCUUUACUUGAGUUUUAAUACGGGAGAAUAGAAUUUUAUUUGUAAGGUUAAAAUCUAACUAUAAAUAAAGGAAUGCUAGCAGCGGAGGCGAUUCUCUAGUAAAAACUGACGUUGAUGAACGAAAGUAUGGGUAGCAAACAGG
RNAcentral lists this ribosomal RNA (254 nucleotides) under uncultured bacterium. Its description in RNAcentral is "partial 16S ribosomal RNA". It matches the Rfam family "Bacterial small subunit ribosomal RNA", at positions 524 to 776 of the family's 1533-position model. The record is from RNAcentral.